This 449-nucleotide ribosomal RNA is filed under the name uncultured bacterium. RNAcentral's name for it is "partial 16S ribosomal RNA". It matches the Rfam family "Bacterial small subunit ribosomal RNA", at positions 354 to 796 of the family's 1533-position model. The record is from RNAcentral.
GUGGGGAAUAUUGGACAAUGGGCGAAAGCCUGAUCCAGCCAUGCCGCGUGUGUGAAGAAGGUCUUCGGAUUGUAAAGCACUUUAAGUUGGGAGGAAGGGCAGUAAGUUAAUACCUUGCUGUUUUGACGUUACCAACAGAAUAAGCACCGGCUAACUUCGUGCCAGCAGCCGCGGUAAUACGAAGGGUGCAAGCGUUAAUCGGAAUUACUGGGCGUAAAGCGCGCGUAGGUGGUUCAGCAAGUUGAAGGUGAAAUCCCCGGGCUCAACCUGGGAACUGACUCCAAAACUGCAUGACUAGAGUACGGUAGAGGGUAGUGGAAUUUCCUGUGUAGCGGUGAAAUGCGUAGAUAUAGGAAGGAACACCAGUGGCGAAGGCGACUACCUGGACUGAUACUGACACUGAGGUGCGAAAGCGUGGGGAGCAAACAGGAUUAGAUACCCCGGUGUCC